This is an RNA transcript of Carya illinoinensis, 1474 nucleotides long. It is a transcript of the gene named peroxisomal membrane protein 11A, with no coding region annotated. The transcript has 3 exons. The record is from RefSeq and is a predicted model, not a curated record. Lineage: Eukaryota; Viridiplantae; Streptophyta; Magnoliopsida; Fagales; Juglandaceae.
ACGAUGUCGUUAGGUGGACUCGAAUAGCCAAUAAUUUUCAGAAAUCAUUGAGUUGGAAAAUUUCGUCGGGCUUCCUCUUCUUUCUCAGGCUCUUUGUGCAACAUCCAUGGAGUCGAAAGCUUCAACAACGAUAGCUAAGACCUCUCUUCAGAGCCCGAAACCUAAAGAAAGAGACCUCUUGCACCACCUCGAAGCCUACCUCGCCAAGCGAGAUGGCGUGGACAAGCUUCUCAAGAUUUCCAGGUAUGCCACCAAGAUCAUCCUCGCCUCCUCGGUGCUCCCAGAAACCCUUACCCUAACCGGUCGACUGAAGAGCUUCGAGACCAGCGUGGGGCUCAGUCGGAAGGCUUUCCGACUCGGCAAGUUCGUCCAGGACUUGAACGCUCUGAGGAACUCCCAUUUCGAUUCGAAACAAGAACUCGUCCUCUCCAUCAUCGCCAAUGGGGGCGAGGGCCUAUACUACUUUGUCGAGCAGUUUAUUUGGCUUUCCAAAUCGGGUCUGAUCGAUAGCAAACACUCGCGUAAUUUGCAGAAAAUCAGUGCCUGGGCCGAGUUUAUCGGCUAUAUGGGUAGUAUAUCGUUGAAAUUUAUGGAUUUAAAGCGGAUUAAGGAAGAUGAGGCGUGUUUGGAAUCGACUAUUGAGAUUGCGGUUGCGAGGGGAAAUGGGUGUCUCGAAGAGGAGCAGAGGUUGAGGAAAUUGAGAGAGAAGAAGCUGAUGAAGAAGCUCUCUAUUGUUCAAGAUAUUGCCGAUGGACUAAUGGCAUUGGCAGAUAUUCGUGACGGGAAGGGGCAGCUUUCGGCGCCGCUUUUUAUUUCUUGUGCAGGGCUGUUAUCGGCGCUGAUUAGCACUCAUAAGAACUGGGUGUCUUGCUGAGUUUGCUGGCCUUUCGCGCAAGUUAAAAUGGAGUUAGCAUGGCGUUGAUUAGAUGGAAGAAGGAAAUGAGUUUAAAAGCAAAAACUAUCCAUUGUUUCCCUUGCUUCGAUGAUGAAGGUUCCUGGAGAUUCUGUCUUGGUGAUUCCAAACCUUUCCAAGGUUGAGAUUCGAGUGCACCCAUUAAAAUUUCUGAGGCAAUCGGUAUGGCGUCAUAUGAUUUUGGAUAUCAUUUUUCCUCACCAAGGACAAUUUGUGAUGCAUUUACAUCAAAGCACACCAAGUACCCCAGGGGAUUGCAGAAUUUAGACUUACAUCUUCAUCUUGAGAAUUUCAGAAAAUCUUUUGCUUCUCCAUUAGCAUAGCUCAACUUAAAAAUGCCUAGCCUAACUAACAGCAGCCCAGCCUAGUGUAGAAUAUUCUCAUUUCUCAAAACAUUGGUUUUCCCUUCCAAUAGGUUGGUCUCUUCCAUCAAUGCCUGCACAUUAUGAGGACAUUCUACAGGAGCCUCUGUUUCUGCUUCAGUACAAGAAGCAAACAUUAAAAAAAAAAAAUGUCUCUUUGAACUUUGAAUACACUCUGUGGAUCAGAAUUAAAGCGAGC